This is a long non-coding RNA of Patella vulgata (common limpet), 1920 nucleotides long. RefSeq lists it as uncharacterized. The record is from RefSeq and is a predicted model, not a curated record. Lineage: Eukaryota; Metazoa; Mollusca; Gastropoda; Patellidae. The transcript is spliced from 3 exons.
AUGCAAAGCGUGGCUGUUGGAAUAUGAAACUAGCAUUUAAAAAAAGUGUACGUUUAUUUAUAGCAUUAUUUAUAUACACUGAUGUACAAUGUAUAAUCAGUUAACAAACUUUUAACAGUGGUGAAACACGGGAUAGAACAUACAGGAUAAUAUACAGUCAAUGUAAUUGUUUGGACCCAUUACUAACUAGAAUUAAAGAUGUGGAUAAGAUCGUUGAUAUUGGUGAUGAUGUUGGCGUCAGUUUAUACUUUAGACGAAUUAGUUGCUACGGUGUACCAACCCAUAGAUAUGAGCGAGGAUCAGUCAUUAAGUAUCAAGUUGUUACUAGAUCUAUGGUGUAUUUAUCACCAGAUAAAAGGAACAUACCCCAUACCUCGCCACUGUAACUGGUAACCACAAAUGUAUUCACACAACGGAUCGUUCACCACAGAUUGAGACUGCACUUUGUACGCCCUUAAUUAAAGGCCCGAUGCGCCAUUUGCAUUUUCGCUAAAAUAUAGAGUUUCCAACGGAUAAAUAAACGAUAAAUAUGUAAUCAUUAUGAUUAUUUGACAUUUACUUAAGAAAACAAAAUCAAAAUAUCAACGCUAGAUAAAUCUCACCGCUUGGAUUAAACCGGAUUUAAACUAAACCCAGCAUGUUUCUCCACUACCAUGGGAAUAAAAGAUGGCGGAGUCUUGUUACACUCGAGCAGCAUAGAUCGAUGGAAAUACAGUUUAUCAUAACUUUGUAAUGGAAUUCGAUCAUUUCUGGACUGAUAUUCAAAUUAGAGAUUACACGUUCAAAGUGUUGCAAGGAAUUCAUAUAGCGCAUCGAGUCUUUGAUUAGCAAAAACGAACAAUGCGUGGAUCGAUUUUAAAUGUUGUCCAUCAUUUGAUUAUCGUGUUUAACAUUGUUUUUGUUUUAUAGUGUUUAACAUUGUUUUUGUUUUAUAGUACUACAUUUAUUGUCCAUCAUUUAAUUAUCCUAGCUGAAAUUGUAUUUGUUUUAUCGUACUGUAUUUAUUUGUAAAUUAUCUGUAGUUCUUAAAUUUAAAUAUAUUAUUGUCCUCAAGUCAGACUUGAAUUGAUAGAACUUUUAUCAAAUUCCUCUCAUAGCGCACUGGCGUUUGUCCGUCUUUCUUUAGCCCAAUCGGUGCAGAAAGGUAGGACGUCAAACCCCAUUCUAAUUCAAUUUACUAACUAUGUCUGUGUGUCUAUUGGGUUGUUACUACAUGUAAGCUAUAUCCGUGUGUUCUGUCAAGGGGGGGAGAGGGUCUAUUUGGUUGCAUGUUCCUGAAGCAACGAUCGUGAGUUUUACAACAUCUAACCGUUGCUUUAGUACUGGGCAAUUCCCGAACUUUUGCGCUCGUUGUAUUUACACGUGACUGAUUAGCAUUGUCCAAUCAGAGGUCGUCGGACAUAACACACUGUAAACAAAUAUGGCGGUCUCCAUAGAAACUCUUUGUUGAUCAGGUAUGAUUUCCAGAACCUUGACAUUGAUCGAACCUUGAACUUUGCAACUCGAUUGUCACAUGUAGACAUUUUAGCUUGAUACUUGAUAAUGGUAACGAUAUUUUUAACGAAGGAAUCUGAUAGGAUCAAAAGCUGGGCUUGUACCCAAUCGAAAGUAGUGUCAAAUAUGCGGGGUAUUACGUGAAGGGCUUGAUAAGAUGUACGUAGUUAAGGCGAGAUUAAGCCUUCUAUUGAAGACGAUUGGGUUGUUACUACAUGUAAGCUAUAUUCUCCAAUACUAACUAAAAGUUAAUUGAAAACGUUGAUUAUCUGAAGAGCUUAAUAAAAUAAGCGAAAGAGCUAGUAUUCGACAAAUAAUGUAGUUUUUUUUCAAAAACUUUUAUAUUUUUGUGUGUAUAUAUAUAAUAUAUAUAUAUAUAUAUAUAUCUUUCUUUCUGGGAUGUUUUUUGUUUGCGGUCAUCUUUUC